AGUUGCCAGCAUUCAUUGGGCACUCAAGGUGACUGCGGCUAAAAGUCGGAGAAGUGGGGAUGACGUCAAACCAUCAUGCCCCUUAUGACCUGGGCUACACACGUGCUACAAUGGGCGGUACAAAGGGUCGCGAACCCGCGAGGGGGAGCCAAUCCCAAAAAAGCCGCUCUCAGUUCGGAUUGCAGGCUGCAACUCGCCUGCAUGAAGCCGGAAUCGCUAGUAAUCGCGGAUCAGCAUGCCGCGGUCGAAUACGUUCCCGGGCCUU
This 265-nucleotide ribosomal RNA is filed under the name uncultured Paenibacillus sp. Its description in RNAcentral is "partial 16S ribosomal RNA". It matches the Rfam family "Bacterial small subunit ribosomal RNA", at positions 1113 to 1382 of the family's 1533-position model. Lineage: Bacteria; Bacillati; Bacillota; Bacilli; Caryophanales; Paenibacillaceae. The record is from RNAcentral.